RNAcentral lists this ribosomal RNA (460 nucleotides) under uncultured bacterium. Its description in RNAcentral is "partial 16S ribosomal RNA". It matches the Rfam family "Bacterial small subunit ribosomal RNA", at positions 338 to 795 of the family's 1533-position model. The record is from RNAcentral.
CCUACGGGAGGCAGCAGUGAGGAAUAUUGGUCAAUGGACGAGAGUCUGAACCAGCCAAGUAGCGUGAAGGAUGACUGCCCUAUGGGUUGUAAACUUCUUUUAUUUGGGAAUAAAACAGGGUAUGCAUACCCUUUUGUAUGUACCAUAUGAAUACGGAUCGGCUAACUCCGUGCCAGCAGCCGCGGUAAUACGGAGGAUCCGAGCGUUAUCGGGUUUUAUUGGGUUUAAAGGGAGCGUAGGUGGUUUGUUAAGUCAGUUGUGAAAGUUUGCGGCUCAACCGUAAAAUUGCAGUUGAAACUGGCAGUCUUGAGUACAGGAGAGGUGGGCGGAAUGCGUGGUGUAGCGGUGAAAUGCUUAGAUAUCACGAAGAACUCCGAUUGCGAAGGCAGCUCACUGGACUGCAACUGACACUGAUGCUCGAAAGUGUGGGUAUCAAACAGGAUUAGAUACCCUGGUAGUC